Anneissia japonica is the source of this 400-nucleotide long non-coding RNA. RefSeq lists it as uncharacterized. The record is from RefSeq and is a predicted model, not a curated record. Lineage: Eukaryota; Metazoa; Echinodermata; Crinoidea; Comatulida; Comatulidae. The transcript has 4 exons.
ACCGCAUCUGUCUUUUUCUCUGGGUACAUUGUGUGGAUGGAAGAAGAACACGUUCGGUCAUUUCGGUCAUCAAAUUCUUCAGGGUUUGGGGUCCCAUACAGUUGAUGUGUUCUAGAAGCGUAUGAGCAUAUGAUUAGUAUAUUGAAAUUAAGUAUAAGGCAUAAGCGGAGAUGACAACACCCGAGAAUAAACCUCCAAGUACAGAGCCAGCAAGUAAGCCAACUCCUGUAACAAAGCCACAGACCACCAGUGUAUCACUAUCGAGCCUUCCAAAAAAACCAAAUUACAGUUUGAAAUUUACUCUAGCUGGUCAUACAAAAGCUGUUUCCUCUGUCAAGUUUAGUCCAAACGGAGAAUGGCUAGCAAGUUCGUCUGCUGAUAAACUCAUAAAAAUAUGGGG